GGAUAAAAUGGCUGAUAAUAGGCUGUAAAUUGUAAAUUUAUUAAUAGAUUUAAAAUCUUUUUAUUAA
RNAcentral lists this transfer RNA (67 nucleotides) under Nurudea yanoniella. Its description in RNAcentral is "tRNA-Tyr". The record is from RNAcentral. Lineage: Eukaryota; Metazoa; Arthropoda; Insecta; Hemiptera; Aphididae.